UUCUAGGAGGGAGGAGCCUGGAAGGGACCAAAAAAAAAUGGGAAGUGAGGAUAAAAGAGCAUCCUGGUUUUCUUACUCUGUCACUUUAAAUUUGUUGUAAAAAAUGACAGGGGCAUAUUGAGAUCCUUUCUCCCAACUGUGCUGGAUGAAAGGGGCUGGCGGCUACAACAUUUGGAGGCCCUAGCGACAUCUCAGGGAGUGGCCCUGGGAUCUAAGACCGGACCGGCCUCCGAAGCAGUUGCUGUCCCUGUUGCGGAUUCAAAGGGGUGGCCAACCUGAGACGUUCAAUGGCCCUCGAAUGCCAUGACGGGGUCAGUACAAUCGUCAAGAAAGCAACCUUUAGGACACACUCUUUGUUCCUGGUCCCGACGGGAAUCUCCAAGGCCUCAACGUCUGGAUAAAAGACUCCAGACCCCGAGACCCCCGUUUAUGACUACAUGGAUUUCACUGAUGCUGUGUGUUCCUUGCGGUCAGACCUCAAAGACUCCCCUCUGCCUGAGGCCAGUGAAGUUCUAUUCACAGAUGGGAGCAGCUUCAUGCAGGAAAGGAAGAAGGUAUGCUGGGGCAGUGGUCGUCACAAGCUCUUCCCCAUAGGACUUCUGCUCAAAAGGCCGAACUCAUUGCCCUCACUGAGGCACUAAGAGGAGGAAAGAAUAAGGCAGUCACAAUAUAC
Molecule: long non-coding RNA, 673 nt
Organism: Pteropus alecto (black flying fox)
Lineage: Eukaryota; Metazoa; Chordata; Mammalia; Chiroptera; Pteropodidae
Exons: 3
Source: RefSeq, a predicted model, not a curated record